This 338-nucleotide unclassified non-coding RNA is filed under the name soil metagenome. RNAcentral's name for it is "partial contains 5.8S ribosomal RNA, internal transcribed spacer 2, and large subunit ribosomal RNA". The stretch from base 1 to 120 matches the Rfam family "5.8S ribosomal RNA", at positions 35 to 154 of the family's 154-position model. The record is from RNAcentral.
GAUGAAGAACGCAGCGAAAUGCGAUAAGUAAUGUGAAUUGCAGAAUUCAGUGAAUCAUCGAAUCUUUGAACGCACAUUGCGCCCGCCAGUAUUCUGGCGGGCAUGCCUGUUCGAGCGUCAUUUCAACCAUCAAGCCCCCGGCUUGUGUUGGGGACCCUGCGGCUGCCCGCAGGCCCUGAAAACCAGUGGCGGGCUCGCUGUCACUCCGAGCGUAGUAGCAUAUAUCUCGCUCAGGGCGUGCUGCGGGUUCCGGCCGUUAAAAGCCUUUUUUUUACCCAAGGUUGACCUCGGAUCAGGUAGGAAGACCCGCUGAACUUAAGCAUAUCAAUAGCGGAGGA